This 468-nucleotide ribosomal RNA is filed under the name uncultured Alphaproteobacteria bacterium. RNAcentral describes it as "bacterial SSU rRNA". It matches the Rfam family "Bacterial small subunit ribosomal RNA", at positions 9 to 521 of the family's 1533-position model. The record is from RNAcentral. Lineage: Bacteria; Pseudomonadati; Pseudomonadota; Alphaproteobacteria. RNAcentral also lists the same sequence under 1 other name.
GAGUUUGAUCGUGGCUCAGAGCGAACGCUGGCGGCAGGCUUAACACAUGCAAGUCGAGCGGGCGUAGCAAUACGUCAGCGGCAGACGGGUGAGUAACGCGUGGGAACGUACCUUUUGGUUCGGAACAACACAGGGAAACUUGUGCUAAUACCGGAUAAGCCCUUACGGGGAAAGAUUUAUCGCCGAAAGAUCGGCCCGCGUCUGAUUAGCUAGUUGGUAGGGUAAUGGCCUACCAAGGCGACGAUCAGUAGCUGGUCUGAGAGGAUGAUCAGCCACAUUGGGACUGAGACACGGCCCAAACUCCUACGGGAGGCAGCAGUGGGGAAUAUUGGACAAUGGGGGCAACCCUGAUCCAGCCAUGCCGCGUGAGUGAUGAAGGCCCUAGGGUUGUAAAGCUCUUUUGUGCGGGAAGAUAAUGACGGUACCGCAAGAAUAAGCCCCGGCUAACUACGUGACAGCCGCCGCGGU